CUUUAGUUUACUUAUCUAUAAAAUGGGGAUAAUAAUAGCACCUGUCCCCAGGGUUGUUAAGAUGAUCAAAUGAGUUGUUUGUUAAAUGCUUUGCAAAUCUUAAAACUCUAUAUAAAUGGUAGCUGUUACUAUUAUAUGCUACUCUUACCAUUAUCUUAACUAUAUGUAGGCCUUCUCUUUCCCUAGGUACCAGAAUCACUCUCUGAAGGCUAUGAUGGGGAUCUAGCCUGGGCUCCAUGGGGAAAUGUCUGAUGUGGAAGCUUCCAUAACAACAUGUUGAUACUUCAAAAAAAUUCCACAUUUUUUCAUCUAGAUUGUUUAACUCUGAGAAGACCAAAGAAAAACCUGGUCUUUAGUUUGGACUACGAGUCUGGUAAGUCUGUUCUUGUUGAGACUCAACAAGCUAGCCUUUGCUAUUUUAUAAUUUGAAGGCAAAGUUAAGAUUUAUAAGGAUAAUAGUAGUAUUUUUUAUUUUAGAUAGUAUAUAUUUGGGUUAGUCACAUCAGGGAAGAUUAGUGUAGCCUGUGAAACACAGAAGAAAUGGUACCAUGUGUAAACCUCAAAAUUUCCUUAGACUUAUAAAUGUUGGAAAUUUCACCAUUGGGAUAUUUCAUACUUGAAAAAUUUCUUACUGAUAGUCUAUUGGAAUGGGAACUCCAUUGGCAUGGGAGGUUCCUUCUCUUCCCUUCUUAAGAUUACUUUAGGACAGAAACCCUUUGCUGAACAAUGGAAAGGACUUUGACCUAUGCUUAAGCAUAGAACAGGAAUUUCUUUGAGUCUUGAUUGAUUUUAGAAUUGAUACAAUGGAGAUACUCCACCCUAUUCAGUCCUAAUAGGAUUGAGUAAGGGCUGCAGCCUAGAUCAAAAUUUAAUUAUUCCAAUCUCUACCAUACUCAAGUUAACAGGAUUUAGAAAGGGCUGUAACAAAGGAGUAUAGAUUUAAUCAUUUGAAAAUAUGACCUUCAACAGACAUGUGCAAAAAGCCAGAAACCUCUGGGCGGUCCUGGGUUAAGCGAGAGCCUCCAUUGACAGGGAAAUUGAUGAAGAGUGAUUGGUAGAUGUGAGGACUGAGGGGAGGCAACCUGGAUGGUGUCCUUAAAGAUAGGAGGGUCUGGAGACUCGAGAGGGAGGGUUGAGUUUUUGGUCGGUGGUUCCUGGGCUCUGAGGAAGCUUGCUCUGAAGGAAGCUGAAGGUGGGGGCCUCUGAGACUGUUUCUCCAUUUUGGACACGUGAGUAAUAGGGACUGAUCUCUUUUCUUUGCCCCAGCUAUCUAAGGGCUUGGGCCUUUUGGCCCAGCCUAAACAGAAGGGGUAUUUAAGCCCUAUUCCCUUCUCUCCCCUUUCUCUCUCUCUCUAUAUCUCUAAUUCCUUUCUUACUCCUAUUGUAAUUAAACUCCAAAAAAAGCUGACGGCUGACUUGAGUUUUUCAUUUAGGAAUUACAUAGCUGAUUCCUUGGCGACCUUAAAUUAAUAUAUAUCAGUCUUUUAAAGUGAUUCCCUUGUAACACAUGUGGAACCAGGAACUUGGGUGGAUUUAGAAUCCCUUAGAAUUAGAAAUCCUUCUUUAUCCUUAUAUAUUUCAAUAAAUAUUUUAUUUUUAUUAGUCUCUUUAGCA
RNAcentral lists this long non-coding RNA (1614 nucleotides) under Monodelphis domestica (gray short-tailed opossum). Its description in RNAcentral is "lncRNA (ENSMODG00000035938.2)". Lineage: Eukaryota; Metazoa; Chordata; Mammalia; Didelphimorphia; Didelphidae. The record is from RNAcentral.